AUUGAACGCUGGCGGCAGGCCUAACACAUGCAAGUCGAACGGUAACAGGGAUCAGCUUGCUGAUUCGCUGACGAGUGGCGGACGGGUGAGUAAUGUCUGGGAAACUGCCUGAUGGAGGGGGAUAACUACUGGAAACGGUAGCUAAUACCGCAUAACGUCGCAAGACCAAAGAGGGGGACCUUCGGGCCUCUUGCCAUCGGAUGUGCCCAGAUGGGAUUAGCUAGUAGGUGGGGUAACGGCUCACCUAGGCGACGAUCCCUAGCUGGUCUGAGAGGAUGACCAGCCACACUGGAACUGAGACACGGUCCAGACUCCUACGGGAGGCAGCAGUGGGGAAUAUUGCACAAUGGGCGCAAGCCUGAUGCAGCCAUGCCGCGUGUAUGCAGAAGGCCUUCGGGUUGUAAAGUACUUUCAGCGGGGAGGAAGGGAGUAAAGUUAAUACCUUUGCUCAUUGACGUUACCCGCAGAAGAAGCACCGGCUAACUCCGUG
Molecule: ribosomal RNA, 490 nt
Filed under: uncultured bacterium
Lineage: Bacteria
Description: partial 16S ribosomal RNA
Rfam family: Bacterial small subunit ribosomal RNA
Source: RNAcentral